CAGCAUGUGCUCUUAAUCACAGAGUCAUUUCUCUAGCCUUCUACUGAAUUCUUAGUGUUUAACACUGAAUCUAGUAUGGUGAUGCAUCCCAGUAAAGACUUCUUAAAUCUACAUUUAAAAAAAAAGAUAGAAUACUAGAUGUGUAUGGUUAUAAAUCUUUAAGACACUCAGAAAGUAUCAGGAAGAAAUCAUACCAAAAUAAUAACGGCGCUUGCAUUAAGAUUAGGCAUGCUUUUCUUCAUCUGUUCUCUACUGCCUGUGAGUGUGUAGUGUAAAUGCACAGCCUUUCCAUUUUAGACCUUUCAGACGUGUGGUCAAAGUAGAUGUGUAGUAUCUGGAGGGUGGGAGGAUUGCUAGGAGGUGCUCCCUUCUGAAUAUGAAUGGCUGUGGAAAUCAUGAGCACACAGAAACUCUGGUGACCUGAACAAGCCCUGCACAGGCCCUUCAGCAUUCCAUCACAGAGGAAGGAAGGAGCUUAUAAGCCCCACCCCAUCCCCAGUCCCACGGGGCUAUUGGCAGCUAAUGGUAACCAGGGGAGGAGGGUCUCUUUCCCUGUGGUAUAGCCAUGGAAAGUUGUCCACACUCGGGUAAAUAACCCCCUACCUAUGCUUAUCAAGCACCUGUAAUUACACCUAGUGGGUCACAAAAAAAGACAUGGAGGUAGAAAGAAAGAAAGCUAGUUGGGGAGAACGAAAGUGUCACCAGGAGUGAGAGAAGGAUAAGAAGGGACAAAGAAGAUUGAUCAUAAUGCAUUGCAUUUAUCUAUGAAAUGGCCAAAGACGUUUUAAAAAACUGCUCCAGGAGUCCAAUUGGUGAGAAAGAGGAGGGUUUGUAUGAGCGAGAAUUGUUGAGACCAAGAUUGGAAAAAGUGCAACCAUUUUUUUAAAAGUAGAAGUGACAUACUAUUUCAACUCCCAGCCCUAAGAUGACUUAUUUCGACCUAUAUUGCAAAGGAAUUGCUCUAGGAACGAUGAUUCUGAAGGGUGCCCCAAAGUUGCCCCUGAUGUGAUUUGACCUACAUGUUGUUAGUUGGGGGGAGGGGUAUGACCCCACAGGAGAAUGGCUCAUUACUGCUCUGUCAGACUUCAGUAAUGAGCACACUAGUCACCUUGGCAGGUAGGCAUUAUCCAGGUGGCCUGUCUGCCCCAAGGAUGUGGGUUACAGAGAUGUCCCAUUGCUUCAUUGCUAAAGAUAAGUUGAGUCUGGGUAGCUUUCAUCAAGGUGAAGCUACCUGGCAUUCUGCGCGUUCUUAGCAUCCCUCAAGGGGAUAGAGAUGCCAAAGGCCUGAGGCUGUUUUCUCUAGGUCUAAAGAGCCAGACACCUAAGUGUUGUUGGGUGUUAGCUAAAGAGCUGGACCAUGCAUGAGGUCUGGGGAGAGGCACUGGUUCUGGAGCCCAUGUUGGAGAACUGCAGGAGCUAAAGGAUGAGGUGGUGUGUUUGUAAUGGUGGCAUAAGAGGAUGUUGAUCCCAAAAGCUAACAUACAUGGAGCUCCAGAUGGCGCAGGUGCUACGCAGCAUGUUUUACCUUCUGGAAAACUCCUACUUACCCUCUGUCUGGGCUGCAGACCCACCACCUGCUGUAAAGGCCGCAGGUGCCAGAAGCCUCCGUCCUUAGACCCCUCUGGGGCUAGACUAUGUAAGUGACUCCCCCACCCCAAUUCUCACCCAACGUCCAGCCACCUCAUAAUGCAAAAUGAAUUUAGUUCAUCUGGAGGAGUCCACUAAGUCUUAGUAGUUCUAACACUGUUCAAAGGGCCAAAGUCCAAAGUAUGCCUUGAGAUGUGAGGUAAUCUCUCAAUUGUAAGCCCCAUAAAAGAGUUUUCAUCUUUUCUGUUUACAGUGGCACUGAGUAAACACCCCUAUUCCAAAGAGAGGAUACCAAGGGAACAUCAGACCAAAACAAUCCCAAAGCCCCGUCACAUGUGAACACCAGGGUUCAGGUCUACAAAACGGCAGCUGUUCCCAUACCAACCAUUCACCCACUCCCCCCGUAACUCUGGAAAAGGGGAAGGUUCCCAAAUGUUGUGGAGAAUCGUCACAAAGGCUAGACAUAAGAGUGAUGUCUGGGGUCCUUCCCACUAACUUGUAAGCUGACUGGGACCAGGAACUUCGCUGCCUCUGUCUUUGGAGGCCCCGUGCCUGGCACACGAACUCUGGGCCCGCAGCUGCUGCAGGGAAUCCAGGAGUGUUAGCCAGGCCCUACUCACAGCAGUCGGAGCCUCAGCAAUAUAACAGGGAGUUGAAGCCAGCUUUAAAGAUAAAGUCUGCUCUUUGCGCUUAAAGCAAACAAACGGGAUGAUUCCAAAGAAGUCUCCGUGUGCCUUUUCCAAUCUGGUGGUUCAUUGACGAGAAGAGAUGGACACGUUUGCUUCCUCCAUUAAACUCGGAAUGAGAAACUUGUGGAGAGAACUUUGAAAGGCUAUAGGAGGGAGAGAGAACUCUCUUUUUUCUUUCGUCUGGGUGAUGUGGGCCCGCUCGAGAAGGAAAUGGAGGGACCUAGACCCAUCACACAAGAAGAUCCUGUGACUUACCUAACAGUGCCCAUGCACGACUUCCCAGGCAGUGACUGGGAGAUUCAGCCCAAGACAGACUAGAAAGCAGAUCUGGAAAAACCUCAGCCAGUUCAGACAGAGAUGCAGAGAAACACUGUCCACCAAAGGAGUGCCACCCUGAACAGGCACAGACAGAGCCAGGGUGGCCAUGCUAAGUGCCUGGCUCCAAGCUCCCUGAAGGAUUGUGGUUCAGAGCCAGAAGCCAUAGGAAUCGCAGUUGGUUUUGUUUUGUUUGUUUGUUUGUUUUAUGAAAGGUGUACUAUAAAUAAUGUUACAUUGAGAGAGGAAAUGCCCUUUUUUGGUGGCCAGUGAAGCUUUCAGAGCUGUCGACCAGAUUCCACGCUUGACUCCAGACACACAGCGGGCCUGACUACCUUAAGUGCCUUUCAAUCUCCUAAACUGUCCCUUUGUCCUAUUAUUGUCUCUGGGCCAUUUUGAAACCAUUUAAUUUUAUUCACUAGAACUUCUUUUUAAUUUUUCUUUCUAAUGAGAGAUUCCAGUUUUGUGCAGACAUCCGACCCGGGCUCCCUCCCACCUCCCACCCCCCUACUCCGCAUCCCGCACUCCCUCCAUUCCCCACCCCCACCGCCGCUCUCUUUAUGGUCAAUUGCGUUUCCUGUUUCCGUUGCUUCACUUCUGUGACUAGCUCCAUUCCUCAUCAGAGUGAAGAGUUCUGCCCCGGACACACCCUUCAGCCAGAGACUUCCGCAGAGCCUGCUGCACCGCCCCCCAUGGAGAGUGACUGGAAGUACAGAGAGCUGGAGCCCUGGAGCCGCGUUGCCACCCUGAGCAGAGAGCUUGGAGCUAUUAGGACCUUUAUGGGAAGCCUGAUAAAUGAAACUAACUGGUAAAAGACAAGGGCAGGACCCAAGACGCCGUGAGGGCGUCUAAACCUGGAGUCGACGUCUGAAUCCAGACCUGGCCUCCUCGAUUGUAUCUGUGCCCAAAGUUCUUUUUCCUUAAGCCCUUCUGAGUUGCUUUCAACUGACUUUGUUCUAACUAGAGUCCAACUACCAGGUUUUAAAGCUACUCAUUCGGAGCCCCCCGCCUCCUUUUAUUUGCCAAAGUCCCUGGAGUAACCAUUAAAUUAGUCCCAGAUGGUUUAUUAACAUCAGCCAAGCACUUUCAAAAUAAAAAUAAAAAGCAGUAUUUUUGUUUUAAUUAA
Peromyscus maniculatus bairdii (prairie deer mouse) is the source of this 3717-nucleotide non-coding RNA. Lineage: Eukaryota; Metazoa; Chordata; Mammalia; Rodentia; Cricetidae. The record is from RefSeq and is a predicted model, not a curated record.